UACGUAGGGUGCGAGCGUUGUCCGGAAUUAUUGGGCGUAAAGAGCUCGUAGGCGGUGUGUCACGUCGGCCGUGAAAGCCCUGGGCUUAACCUGGGAAUUGCAGUCGAUACUACUCAGCUAGAGUAUGGGAGAGGGUAGUGGAAUUCCCGGUGUAGCGGUGAAAUGCGUAGAUAUCGGGAGGAACAUCAGUGGCGAAGGCGGCUACCUGGCCCAAUACUGACACUCAGGUGCGACAGCGUGGGGAGCAAACAGG
This 253-nucleotide ribosomal RNA is filed under the name uncultured bacterium. RNAcentral's name for it is "partial 16S ribosomal RNA". It matches the Rfam family "Bacterial small subunit ribosomal RNA", at positions 524 to 776 of the family's 1533-position model. The record is from RNAcentral.